Molecule: ribosomal RNA, 119 nt
Organism: Betta splendens (Siamese fighting fish)
Lineage: Eukaryota; Metazoa; Chordata; Actinopteri; Anabantiformes; Osphronemidae
Source: Ensembl
CCUUACGGCCAUACCACCCUGAGCACGCCCGAUCUCGUCUGAUCUCGGAAGCUAAGCAAGGUCGGGCCUGGUUAGUACUUGGAUAAGAGACCGCCUGGGAAUACCAGGUGCUGUAAGCU